RNAcentral lists this small nuclear RNA (105 nucleotides) under Catagonus wagneri (Chacoan peccary). The record is from RNAcentral. Lineage: Eukaryota; Metazoa; Chordata; Mammalia; Artiodactyla; Tayassuidae.
GUGCUCGCUUUGCAGUACAUGUACUAAAAUUAGAAUGAUACAGAAAGAUUAGCAUGGCACCAGCACAAGUAUGACAUGCAAAUUCGUGAAGUGUUCCAUAUUUUG